GCACUUCAAAUCGUGAUAUGUUUGGUUUAUUGGUGAGUGUAAACUGAUUUCUAACACCAUUAGCCUAAUGUAUCGUGUCAUUGAGUGC
This 88-nucleotide microRNA precursor is filed under the name Schmidtea mediterranea. RNAcentral's name for it is "microRNA sme-mir-190b precursor". Its record names the gene sme-mir-190b. Lineage: Eukaryota; Metazoa; Platyhelminthes; Tricladida; Dugesiidae. The record is from miRBase by way of RNAcentral.